Molecule: ribosomal RNA, 429 nt
Filed under: Acidobacteriota bacterium
Lineage: Bacteria; Pseudomonadati; Acidobacteriota
Description: Acidobacteria bacterium partial 16S ribosomal RNA
Rfam family: Bacterial small subunit ribosomal RNA
Source: RNAcentral
UGGGGAAUUUUGGACAAUGGGGGAAACCCUGAUCCAGCCAUCCCGCGUGUGCGAUGAAGGCCUUCGGGUUGUAAAGCACUUUUGGCAGGAAAGAAACGUCAUGGGUUAAUACCCCGUGAAACUGACGGUACCUGCAGAAUAAGCACCGGCUAACUACGUGCCAGCAGCCGCGGUAAUACGUAGGGUGCAAGCGUUAAUCGGAAUUACUGGUCGUAAAGCGUGCGCAGGCGGUUCGGAAAGAAAGAUGUGAAAUCCCAGAGCUCAACUUUGGAACUGCAUUUUUAACUGCCUGGCUAGAGUGUGUCAGAGGGAGGUGGAAUUCCGCGUGUAGCAGUGAAAUUCGUAGAUAUGCGGAGGAACACCGAUGGCGAAGGCAGCCUCCUGGGAUAACACUGACGCUCAUGAACGAAAGCGUGGGGAGCAAACAGG